Molecule: ribosomal RNA, 2296 nt
Filed under: human gut metagenome
Description: bacterial LSU rRNA
Rfam family: Bacterial large subunit ribosomal RNA
Source: RNAcentral
CGUGAGGGAAAGGUGAAAAGAACCCCGGGAGGGGAGUGAAAUAGAACCUGAAACUGUGUGCUUACAAGCGGUCAGAGCUCUUCGGAGUGAUGGCGUGCCUUUUGGAGAAUGAUCCUGCGAGUUACGUUCAGUGGCGAGGUUAAGUAUAACGGAGCCGAAGGGAAACCGAGUCUGAAUAGGGCGACAUAGUCGCUGGGCGUAGACGCGAAACCUGGUGAUCUAAGCCUGUCCAGGGUGAAGCUGUGGUAAGACACAGUGGAGGCCCGAACUCACCGCCGUUGAAAAGUUGGGAGAUGAGGUAGGUUUAGGGGUGAAAAGCCAAUCGAACUAGGAGAUAGCUCGUUCUCUCCGAAAUGCAUUUAGGUGCAGCCUUGAGUGUUUAAUUAUGGGGGUAGAGCACUGAAUGAACUAGGGGGCAUAUUGCUUACUGAAUUCAAUCAAACUCCGAAUACCAUAAUUCAAAGCUCAGGAGUGAGACUAUGGGAAUUAACUUCCAUUGUCAAAAGGGAAACAACCCAGACCACCAGCUAAGGUCCCUAAUUAUAACUAAGUGGGAAAGGAGGUGGAGAUUCACAAACAACCAGGAGGUUGGCUUAGAAGCAGCCAUACCUUUAAAGAGUGCGUAAUAGCUCACUGGUCGAGAGUCUCUGCGCCGACAAUGUAACGGGGCUAAGUUAUAAACCGAAGCUGUGGAAUUGCGCAAGCAAUUGGUAGGAGAGCGUUCUGUAGGCCGUUGAAGGAGAAGCGCAAGCAACUCUGGAGGUAUCAGAAGUGAGAAUGCAGGAAUAAGUAGCGAGAAAGGGGGCGAGAAUCCCCCUCGCCGGAAGACCAAGGUUUUCAGGGUAAAGCUUGUCUUCCCUGAGUAAGCCGGGACCUAAGCCGAGGCUAAAAUGCGUAGGCGAAUGGAAAACAGAUUAAUAUUUCUGUGCCAGUUAUAUUUUGUGAAGGAGGGACGCAGAAGGGUAUGUGCGCGGGAGAACGGAAGUUCCCGUAGAAGCAUGUAGAGUGGUCUAGUAGGCAAAUCCGCUAGAUUAGACUUGAGGUGUGAUAUAUAGUCGUAAGAUGAAUGCACAAAUCCCACGCUGCCGAGAAAAGCUUCUAACGUUAAGGUAUAACUGCCCGUACCCGAAACCGACACAGGUGGUCAGGAUGAGAAAUCUAAGGCGGACAGGCUAACUCUCGUUAAGGAACUCUGCAAAAUAGCCCCGUAACUUUGGGAGAAGGGGUGCCCCUGAAUGUUAAUAUACACGCGAUAUGAAGCAUUUGGGGGUCGCAGUGAAGAGGCUCAAGCAACUGUUUAACAAAAACACAGGUCUAUGCUAAGCUGUAAGGCGAUGUAUAUGGGCUGACACCUGCCCAGUGCCGGAAGGUUAAGAGGAGGAGUGAGAGCUCCGAAUUGAAGCCCCGGUGAACGGCGGCCGUAACUAUAACGGUCCUAAGGUAGCGAAAUUCCUUGUCGGGUAAGUUCCGACCUGCACGAAUGGUGUAAUGAUUUGAGCGCUGUCUUGACGGGAGGCCUGGUGAAAUUGUACUACCGGUGAAGAUACCGGUUACCUACAGUAGGACGGAAAGACCCCAUGGAGCUUUACUGUAGCUUGGUAUUGGGUUUUGGCAUUGCAUGUAUAGGAUAGUUGGGAAACUAAGAAGGUAUGGCGCUAGCUGUAUUGGAGUUGUCGGUGGAAUACCAACCAUUCAAUGUUGAAAUUCUAAUCUGUGGUUUGUAGCCACGGAAACAGUGCUAGGUGGGCAGUUUGACUGGGGCGGUCGCCUCCGAAAGAGUAACGGAGGCGUUCAAAGGUUCUCUCAGGUUGGAUGGAAAUCAACCGCAGAGUGCAAUGGCAUAAGAGAGCUUAACUGCAAGACUGACGGGUCGAGCAGGUGCGAAAGCAGGACAUAGUGAUCCGGCGAUUCCGAAUGGAAGGGUCGUCGCUCAACGGAUAAAAGCUACCCUGGGGAUAACAGGCUGAUUUUGCCCGAGAGUCCAUAUCGACGGCAAAGUUUGGCACCUCGAUGUCGGCUCAUCGCAUCCUGGGGCUGGAGAAGGUCCCAAGGGUUGGGCUGUUCGCCCAUUAAAGCGGUACGUGAGCUGGGUUCAGAACGUCGUGAGACAGUUCGGUCCCUAUCCACUGUAGGCGUUAGAAUAUUGAGAAGAUCUGUCCUUAGUACGAGAGGACCGGGAUGGACAAACCUCUGAUGUACCAGUUGUCACGCCAGUGGCACAGCUGGGUAGUCACGUUUGGAACGGAUAACCGCUGAAAGCAUCUAAGCGGGAAACCAGCUUCAAGAUAAGUAUUCU